Molecule: transfer RNA, 66 nt
Filed under: Pseudocellus pearsei
Lineage: Eukaryota; Metazoa; Arthropoda; Arachnida; Ricinulei; Ricinoididae
Description: tRNA-Leu
Source: RNAcentral
UUUGAUAUGGCAGAUAUAAAUAUGCGAUGAAUUUAAGAUUCAUAGAAGGGUUAAGCUCUAUUAAUG